AGCUCCUGGAGGAGCCCCGCAUGUGCUCAGACUCUGCAACUCCCGGGAAGGCUCCUGCAGGCACACGGAGCCGCUCACCGCUGCUCAGCGGACACAGACAGCACAGAGCUCGCCGCAAUACAGUCCUUCCCCUUCCCACCGGGAGCUCCCUGUAAACGUCACUCUAGCUACUGUCCGAAUACAGCAAGCACUUUACAAAGAAGACGUACGCCAGUAACUUGUGUAAUGUCACUAUAAGCAUCAGAAGCCCAUAAUCACCUUGCUUAAUCUUCUUUCAGGCAGACUACAAGUAGAAGAGCUAUGCCAUUUCGAGGACACACCAGAGAAGGCUAAGCCUACCGCAAAACGCACGCAAACGCGGGGGCACCGCAUCUCAGCCGGUGCUCGCUGUGCUGAGAGCAGCCCCAGCUCCCAGACCGCCGUCCUUUCAAAGACCGGUACUGCGGCCACACGGGCACGCUGCGUUCCGGCCGCGGGACGGGACCACCGGGACCCGAAGAGCUGCGGGGCACCCGGCACGGAUCGCGGUGCGGAGCUGAGGGGGCGCCCCGGCGGGCUCGGUGCGGACUACCGGCACGCAGCAGCCAACUCCCGGGACACAGCGAGACCUGCCCAGUUAGAGCUGGCUGCUGGGGGCGCGGGGACCUCACCCCGGGCUGGUGUCCCCGCGGGGCCGCGCCGCCCGCCUUCGCGUCUCCCCAACCCAGCUUACGUUGGUGCCGCGGGAGAGAUGCGUCCUCGCCUUCUCCUCUCGGCUCCCAAAUGCAUUUGUAUGCAUUUGCCCGGGCAGCGGAGGUCCGAGGGAAAGCCGGAGCCGAACGCCGCGCCGCCGGAGCCUCAGAUUAUGGCUGCUGAGUUCCAGCCUUGCUGCAAGACACAUAGCAGAAACUGUUCUGAAGUGGUGUAAGAGAUGAGGAAAGUGAUUCCAAGAUGGGAUUCCCCUUCCAGGAUAAGUACAGGGGAGGGCAAUGGUACAUAUAUCUCCAGAGCCUAAAACUACAGAGGAAAAAAAGAGUAAGAAUUUGAAGGAAAAUGUGUGAAAUGGGAACAUAAAUGCUCUGUGUUGGAGUCUGAGCCUUAUCCCACUGCAGGCAGUAGGAACUUUACCUUUGACUUCGGCCCGAGCAGAACAGGACCCAUGUGAGUUUCCUGGUCCAGUCCCAGAAUUAAGAUAUUUUGGCAGAAGAUCCUUGCUGCUAUUGAGUUCCCUUUGGCAAACUGUUUUCCCUGCACACCACAAUAUAUGGUGUUAGGCUAUGUACCAGAACUGUCGGAACCUAGUUCAGCAAAAUAUUUAUUUAGAUUUCUCUCUGUGGCAGCCAAAAAAAUGUUUAACACAUUGCUCUGGUUAAAGAAAGUUACCAAGCUAUCAAAUGUGAUUAAGAAAUACAAGACAUGGAAAGGAUUACACCAUGUCUUUGAGAACAAUUGGCUAAAAUCAGAAGACCUCCAACUCUGAAACCAUUGGGUUUUGCUGGAUGUGAAAGAAAUUGUAAUGACCAUUGUCUGCCUUCAGCCUCUAGCUGGGCCCAUUAUUUCCUCAUAGAAGUAGUUAGGGAGAAAUAACGUUUUCAAGUUUUGAAUAUGCCAAAAAUCUGGAAAUGACUGAAGUAUGACCCUUGAUGAUUUUUUUAGAUGAGUUCUAUCCCUUUUAGUUUUGUACUUGUAAACUAGAGAAAUAAUAUAAAUGUACGCAUCAAGGAAGUCAUAGUGAAGAGGAUUUAUCUAUCUUAUAAGACCAACACACAAAAGCCUAUGGGCUGAGAGAGGAAAAGAGAUGCGCUGAGUUCAGAGGACCACACUUCAGACAUCCUGGCAUAUAGAGGGGAAAAAAGAAAAAAAAAAAAAGGAAAAAAAGCACACUUCAGAGUGACAAAACUGCCAAGCCACAAAUGACCGUAUAGACCAGUGAGAUUCCUUAGGAUACUUAGUUAAAGCAAGCAGGGGAACGUGUCCAGCCAGGAGCAAGGAACAGAAGAGAGCCUCAGUGAACCACAAGACAGAGCAAAUGCUCCAGACCACAGGGCUCCAGCAACUCUGGCUGGGAAAGGUGCCUCACCAAAGCCAGGAUGAUUGCAACUGUUUAUGAGACCUGAUAGCAUCCAUUUUAAUAAGUCACAGCUAUAGAAGAGACCCACCACAAAACAAAGCUGGAAAAAUCUGAAAUGUGCAACUUAAGUGAACUGCUCUGAAGAAGCAACCCCACACCCAGCAUGUAAAGCUGUGCUACCUUGUUCCAUUGAUGGCAUGGCAUACACCACACCAAGAAUGCAGAGAAACCAGGCCAAACACACAGGGAAAUAUUAAAUGAAGAGAGAAGCAGUUAUUAGGAAAGUAAUACGUGAAUGGAAAAUACUAUAGGAAGAAUGAGUACAACGUGGGAACCACGGGAAUGGCCCACCAGAUGAGAAGACUGCAGUUACCAAAUAGGCCAAACUGCCAAGAGUAGUGCAGUAAAUUUCCAUCUCAAAAGAAGCUAGUGGAAGAAAAAACAGAGUUAGAGAAAAAUCCCCUUAUUUUCAUUUUUAGUUAAUCUUUAUCCCAUCAUUGAUGGAGAGUUUUGCAAUCUGGGCAGGAAGCAGAGACACCCACUCCUACAGGCAGAAAGAUGCAUUUGACGUGAGGCAUUUUCUGGGAUGCUCAUUGAACUGAAAAUCCCCUUUGUAGGUGAAGUCCACAAAUAUGACUAGAAGUCUGCAAGCCCAGGACCAUAUCACAACCUAUACAGGUGUGUGCUCAGAGAGGAACAGAGAAAAAGACAGACCUCAGCAGCUGUGUUUAACCAUGGGGCUGCAACCUCCCGUCACAGCAUGGUCCCCUGCACCACAGGACUUCCCCAGCAGGUCUCUAGAAGACUCCUUCUCAUGGAGGAGCCUUUUCCAAAGGGCUCCAGACUACUGUCACUGUACAAAACCUGCUUUCACUCCAUCUAUAAAGGGAGAUAAAAGACUAUUUCUAUAAAACAUGGAAAGGUCUGAUUGUCCUAUGUGAAACAGUGUUCCUUUGUGCCACCCAGGGACACUUGGCCUUCUUGGUAGUGCUUGCUGUCACCUUCCUGCAUAGGAAGAAGGGGCCAAAACUCAGCAUCUUGUAGGACAUCUUUCAGUGGGACAAAAUUUGCAGGCAUUUCCCUUUGAAAACCUCUUUGUAAAAGAAUAAAAACAGAUCAUUUUGGAGAGUGCCCACACUGAUAGGAUGCUCGCAGCCAGCUUGCAAAGUCUCAGCAGCACUAAAAACUACUCACACAUCUGGAAGAACCAGCACAGUCAUCUAAGAAGUAUUUUGCUCCUGAGCCAUAAAGAGCUGCACAUGAGGCCAGUCUUCUUUCAAAUCCAUUCCCACACUUCUCUCAGCAACUGGGGCAGAUGCUUCAUUCCUUAGCUUGUUAGUUCCAGGAAGGUCUUUCUUGUCCAUUUUUUUCUUCCAGCCUUUCAGGCAAGAUUUCACAGCAGCAUUCUGCAAGCAGAAAAAUGUAUUUCCAGAGAUUCCUUCUUCAGUACUUACUGUUUUUGUUCAGUUUAUUAGCAGAAUUAGCUUCUGGCCACAGCAAGGAGAGGUUUCAGAAUCAUAGAAUUGUUAAGGUUGAAAAGACCAAUAAGAUCAUCCAAUCCAACCAUCAAUCCAUACCUGUGACUGCUGUAGACCAUGUCGUUCAGUGUGACAUCUACCCUUUGCUUGAAAACCUCCAGGGAUGGCAACUCCACCACCUCCCUGAGCAGCCGGUUCCAACACCUCACCAAAGAAAGAUUCACUUCUCCACUUUCUUACCAGAUAACAGGCAAGCUACCAACGGCCAGUAGCUGAAACCACAUUAAAUCUCCACCGUGGAGUAAGGAGACUUCUCACAUUAAAAAUCUUAUCAGUAUUUUCUCCCAUUGAUUUAGUAUUUAAAAGUUUCCUCUAACUUUGCACACAUUGCCUUCUGUGUUUAAGUAUCCUGAGUCUCUUACCAAAUAGCAUACCUAAAUCAAGUAAAACAAUGGAGCAAUUUAAGCUUGACAAUAUUUGUUGAUGAUUUUCAUUUAAAAAAAGGAUUCUAGACUCAGGAGAUAUUAACAUCAUUGAUAGAAAUUGCAUUAUUUCUCACUUUAUUUUUCCCUGGAUAUAAUAAAAAUUUUCCAGUGCUCUUUAGCUCCCAGUGAAGGAAGAAGCUGUGACUUAUUUGUUUUCUUGGAACCUCUGGAUCAAAGAAGCAAGCCAAAACUAUUUUCAAGUAGGACUUGGUACUUUUGCAUCAUGGACACUCAAUUUCCAAAUUAAGCGUUCUAAAAGAGGCAUAUAUAGUGACAGGAAAAGGUUUCUAUAUAGAAAGAGAGUAAGUAGUUCUGAAAAUACCAGACAGCUGAAUAUGCGGUAUCCCAGACCAAAAUACACUGGCACCAACUUCAAUGCUGAUGUUUUUAUAAUAGUAGCACAAUUAAUUUUUGUAAAUCCUUUGCAGCUGUACCACCAAUAUAGCAUGGUAUUUUUAACAGGGUAUUUUCAUUACCUUAUUUUUAGAGAUGAAGGUUUUAACCCUGAUCUUCAGUUGUUUACAACUGAUUGGAUAUGCGAGCAAGAACUUCUGUUGCAGGAAAGCAAAGGAAUAGGUCUUUGCAGGCACAGAGUGAUGUCAGAGCAACUCAUCCCCUCUUGUCCAUCUCUAGCCAUGUCACAAUGGAGACUGCUCUCAGAGUGGAACUGACCAAAAUGAUAAGCCCUGAUAAAAGUAUCAAAAAGAGUACAGAGAAGAGGUGGAUACAUUUGAAAGAUGAGACUUUCUACUUGGAUCAAACAAACUUGUUAGGCCAGAUGUGCCUGGAUUUUUCUUAUUGGAGAGCAAUAAAAACCUCAUGGUUGUUGAACUACGCAGUGUUGGCUUAGAAAUCAAAACAGUUGAACAGAUGAUGCAAGUAACUGUACCCCAUUGACCCAAACAUCCACAGAGGUUUUAAUAAACAUCUUUAUGGUGAAAAGUCCAAACCUCGUAAGUCAAAGCACCAGCACUAAUUUUUGUCUGCAGUAUUACAAGGUGUGCACAGAAGUCCUUGCAGGAUCAUGGGUGAUUUUUCAUAGGGCUCCAGCUUCUCCUGGUGCUCAGGGUCCCCUUAAGACAAGUCAGUGUCGUACCCUGCAUCUUCCAGAGAACGCACAGCAAAAAGCUGCAAAGUCUCACCUGAGCACAAGGGAGCUGAUAUGUUUUCAAAGCCUCAUAACCCACCAGAAUGUUAGGGGAAAGGCAAGACACAGACUGACACAAUCUGCUUUGCAGGCAGACAGGUGUUUUCUCAGAAGCAGGUGAUGCCAAACCUUAAUUUGAUCUCCAUUUUCAAACAUAGGCACAACAACAUGGUUUUCAUCUCCCUUUGGAAACUGACAGAGCAAUACAAAGCUUUCUGAAGCCAUCCAGCUGAGACAGACAUUCACAGACCAAAAUGUAGACCUCCCUAAAGCCAAUAAGAGGAAAAAAAUCCAUAAAAAUUCUGUAGUUUGUUCUUCUCUUACUUUAUGGUUUGGGGAGUGCUUUUUUUUCCUAAGCAUUUAUGGCAAUAGAAUGUGCUUACAAAAAAAAAAGAGAGACAUUUAUGAUUAUCAGAUGUUUAACUCCACUUUCCCAACACAUGUAAGCUAACUGCUCCUUCCCAAAUCAAAGUAUUCUCCCUUAACAGCUAACUUGCAGUGAUUUUGAAGUUACAUAUGUAAUACAACAGCACUCUUAUUUGCCUGCUGGAGAAUCAGAACAAGAUUUGUCUUAAUACAUCUUUUCAAAAAUAUUUUAUUCCUUCACAACAAAUUGCAACUCUUAUCUUGGAAUGUAUUUUUAUAGUUGAAAUGCACAGUAAGAGUUAAACAAAUACCCUCUUUUUUUUUUUUCAGAUGAUCUGCAUUAUUCUUGAAGUAACAUUUGAAAAAUUAUUUCCCUAAGCUUAAUUUUCUCUAUAAAUUAGCAAGUUUUUCUCUCUCUCUUUUUUUUUUUUUUUGGUGUGGUGAUGGGAAGAGGGGGUUCCCAGUUCACUGGGGCAGUAUGAGAUUGAUUAUAAGCAGACUUCCUGCAAAAACUUGGGCAGGUCCUCUGGAGCAUUCCCCAGUCGUAGAACAUCGCUCCUCCAGAGCAGACGCCAGAGGGCAAAAAUAAAACAAAGGGGGGAGGGCUAAACUUUAAAAGAAAUAAAAUCCUCUCUCCAAAUCCAAUCAGAUAUUUCAGUGACAUGAACGGAUCCUUCGUUUUUGGCAGCAUCUCUUCUAUCAGGUCCAGUGAAAAAUCUUAUGAAAAUCCCAGCAACUGUCAAAUGCAGACAUGAUUUUCAUGGAAGAAGUCCAGAUUCCAGAAACUUGUUUGAAGAGAGGAUAAGUACUUCACAUGUGCUUCUGACAGCCAGCUACAGCCUUCACUCAAACUCCAUUUCCCAUGCUUGAGAAAACAGAAUAGAUUUCAGAGGCCUUUGGUUUAGCAAACUUAGUGAUAGGAAACAUCCCAAUCUUCAUACAUGGUAUUUGGAAGUGGCAUGUGACAAUCUUCCAUGAAGAUACAACAGAGUUUUUGAAGAGGGAAUGUUUACAAAGCAGAUUGAUAGUCUGAUGUAUCCAGAGUAAUUAGUUGUAAGCCAAGUAAUAAAAAUGUGGAGAACUUACAAGUAUGCCAGAUGAAAGCAAAAUUCAGAUGUUGCAUACUGUAUGAGCACACAAUGAAGGCCACUUUGUAAUACAAGAGCACAAAACCAUGGGCUGCAUUCAGACCUAGUGUGCAGUACAGCUAAAAUAUCAGUCAAGCCAGAUAUUAAUUUAGCUCAUAACCCUAGGAAGGCAUUUUUGCCAUCUUAUGUAAAGUGUCCAAACUCUUUACUGAAAGAAGAGCCUUAAAUCAUAGAAUUCUUCAGAAAUUAUCCACCACUACAAAUAUCGCUUUUAUUUAGAUAAAGAACUGUAAGCACUGAAAACUUCAUCCCCAGUGUGGAAGCUGUUGGUUAGCAGUGGAAAACCCUGGACCUCUUUGUCUCCUACUGUUAUGUUUUUAAAAAUUAAUGCAGAACUCUGUCCGAUCAGUGUUUAUUUCUGACAGUUUUUGGCUGGGAGGUAGCUAAUAUCUUUGGCAUGUUUUAAGUAGCAUAUCAGAAUCAAUCAUUGACUUGGGUAAUACUGUAUUAUACUUCUGUCUCCUGUUUAGAAAAUAAUGCAUAGCAAGGGAACCCUUAAGGAUUAAAUCUUCACUUUGGAAGACAGCUAAGUGCACAGACACAAAGAUAUGGAGCUAAAGUAGACUGAAAAACGGCAGCUCUGAACUUAUAUUGUAUACACACACUUGUUGAUUUUCCUCUCCUAGUCUAGAAUAUUAACCAGUUCACCAACCUCAUAUUUCUCAGGAGAACGUAAUGCAGAAAAAGAAACCACAAAAAACCCAACACAAUUACAUUCAAACUGUUUCGUUUUUCUAAGGGUCUGUAUGCAUGGAGGGCUACCACAAGGCUGCAGGUUUCUCUGGCCUCAGACAACCUGGUAGCAGGGGAAGCACACUGUGCAGGGGUGUGCUGGAGCACUUUCUGCAGUGGCCCAUCCAGAGCUGCAGAGGAGUAAGCUCAUCUAAUAACAAUGGGUCUGGUCCAUUUCUUAAGAAACACUUCAGCCAACAAAUGACAUUGGAAAGAAAAACUGAUGGAAGAAGUAUCAUUCUUUACAUGCAUAAAUACAGACCAGAUGUGCACGAGGAUGGAUAAAUCUCUACCAGACAGAGAGAAGCAGCGUCAGAAUCUGCCUGGGCACUCCAAGCUGCUCCUGAGGCACAGGCAGGGAGCAAGCAGUUGUUCUUCCCUGGGAAGAGCUGAUGGAGAUGGCCUCACCUCUGGAGAAUGUAUUCCUGCAUUUCAGAGCCAGAGCCGAGCACCCCUGAUACGCAGCCACCCAUUGCUGGAAGCCCCCCAGGAUGGGGCUCAGGCUUGCUGUUUGCUCCCCGUGUGCAGGAUGUUCAGGUAGUGUCGCUGCUGAGCAGCCUCUUGCUGCAAUGGAAUUGCUUUUCUGACAUCAAACGUCCAAACAAAACAAACUCUUUCGGUAUAAUAAUAUUUACUGAAGCAUCAGCUUAUGCUAGAGACAGCAGAAGACUGCUAAGAAGAAGGUCUAACCCAAGAGGAUGUUUAGAAUUUAAGAUUCGCUUAGCCCUUAUGGUGUAAUUUGUGCCAUAUGUUCUCCUAUUUACAGUUUUCCAAGCAAACCAUUUUCUAUUAGUUUGCAGCACAAGGAACUUUCCAUACAAUAGUAACUCUGAGCCUUCCCCCAUAACACAGCCCUUAAGUCCUCACUGAAUAAUAUGCACCUUCUAUAUUUUAACCAGUCUCUGGCAGCAGGGAGAAGUUGCACGUGAUGAGCCUGAUUUAUUGCAACCUCAUCUGAGGGAACUGAGUGCCUAUAAAAUACAGAGCACUAAUUUUGUUUUCUGUUGACCUUUUGCAUCCAACCCUGAAAAAAACUUCCUUUGCAGGCCUCUUCCAGCUGUUGGGAGCCCAGGAUGCUCUAGAGUGAGUCUUUAAAUAGAAAGAUGGAAGUCUUGUGUUAUUAGUCACACUGAGGUCGCAGCAGUAGUAGUAAAUUAAUGACCACUAAUUGUCAUAAACUGUCUGAAGAGAAGGGGACAAACUGCCAACCUCUGCAGAAAUGUUCGUGUGGUUCUCCUGUCUGCUCUGGAGGGAACUCUGGCUUCUAUCUCAAGCAGUCCUUCAGGCUGCCUGCGCAGUACGUGUUGAUUGGACGUUUCUGUGCAGCUUCAGCCUCAUCCCUUCGCAGCCGUUCCAAGUUUCCGGCGCCUCUGCUGAGCGGCAGCCGUGUGUGCGCCACAUUUCAUUCCAUGCAUGUGGGGGUCGUGCACACUGCUGCUGCUCUUUGCAUUUUUUUUUUUUGCACGUUGUCUUUGAAAAAUGGGAUGCAGCUGGUCCCAGGGCAGAUUUAUUGGUAACUUUCCUGGUCUGCUGGCCUGACCGUUUGGGAAAAUCCUUGCUCUACUGGAAGACUCGGUCCCAUUAUGGCAGAGAAGUUCCACGUGUUCAGGUGGCAGCUGUGUCCUCUGCGGGAGGUGGCAGAGGGAAGCAGUUGUGCCCUCUUCUGCCUGAAGAACAUAAAGUUGGCAUUUCUCUUUUGCCACAAGUUUUGCUCCAGCACUUUUCCCCUAAUCAUUCUGAAGAGAUUUUGCAUCCACCCCUUCUUGUUUCUGUCCAUCCUGCCUAAUGAUGCCUGUUGUUCAAGGCCAAAUCCCGCUGCUUGGUGCACCUGGAAGCACCAAAUUACUGCCUCUCCCACCUUCACAGCCUCAGGGAUGUCUCAGCUGCAGUCCACUCCUUCGGCAGGAUCGCAUGUGUGAAAAGACCAAUAAAGGUCCCCCACUCCUGCCACUGUACCUGGCAAUGGUUUUUCAUUCAGUGAGUAAAGAACUGAUAUUUGUAAUUGCUGUUCUUACAAUGUAAGAUUUCUCUGCUUACAUUUCUGCUGAACUUACCAUUGCUCUUCAUAUGACAUUUUUUUAAUGCACAGCCUGCUUCCUCUGUAUCAAAAUGGGUAGAUAUGUGGGUGAACAUUGUCCAGAGCUUUCACUUCUCCAGGCAGUGAAAGGCUUUGCUUUGUUGUAAAAGAAAUAUAUAUUUUCCUCUUGUUGUUCUUGAGAUCAAUGCUUGACAGCUAAUCAAAAAUGAAAUGCGUUGGUGUGCUUAGGUCAACAUGAAGUGCAAACCAAAAGACAAAAACAAGAAAAAAAUUGUCUCAAAGUGCUUUGAAUUGUCCCUUUUCCUUGUUUGGCAGUAAAAGAAUAUAUACAAUGGCAAUUAUCCCUGGGUGUUAAGCUUAUGCUUAUUUCUCUCAUGUGUCAGCUUUGCUGUAACCUUGGCAUUACCACCUCUGGAAAUCUAGCACUUGUUACAGGACACUCAACUUGAAACAACACAGCUCUCAAGAAAACAUAUUUCUGUGACUCUAUUUCCAUUUUGUUUGUUUUAAGAAGCCUUAGUACUGAUUUUCAAUCUGUGGGGAUCUGCAGGAGGAUCCUUGCAGGCUGGAACACUGGGAAACUCCCACCUGAGUGGAGCAGCACUGGCCCAUCCUCACCUCCCACUGCUGGGAGCAAGCAAUGCUCCAUUUAAGCUCGAGGACCCACACCCAUCGCAUAGGCACUGUGCAAGCAGUGGGGGCUCGCACCCAGUCAGGGACCCAUUUCCAGCCAAAUACCUCUGGAAAAGCAGACAGGAGCCAGGGCUGGACACACACUUCAGAGCCCCAGGACAGAGCCAGAGGUGAGCAGUGUUCAUGGCCCAGGACCUGCUGCUCAGCUGGUUGGAUUUUCUUUAGGUCUGAUUCAUGCUUUCUGUCUCUAACACCCAUCUUUCUCUUCUAAUUAACUCCUGCCACGUGUUCCAAGAACUUCUCCCAAAAGCUGAACAUUCGCAAUUGCAGGUAUCUGCUUGCUUGUAGUGCAACUCAGAUACAGAAAACUGCCCUAGUGGUUCAGGCCCCUCUUCAGGCUCUUUCUUCCCUCUGACUCUGGAUCCAUUUCACUUUGUCUCUACAAAGAAGAAAAAGCAACACCGAGACGGCCCUCAUGCUGAAAUCUCUCUCUGUGAUUAAUAAACUGAGAGUAUUUAAUUGUUCCCAUUUGACACAGAUUGAACACGUUUACGUUUUCUUUUGGUGUUAGCCAAUAAAAAGAGACAAGGAAAGCUGAUUCAACCCUUAUGUUUCUGAGGCACACUCCUGGAGCUUUCAAAGGGAGAUGCAUCCAUGGGACAGCAUGAUGGACUCAGGGUUCAGUUUGCCAAAGCAUAGUGCUCAGACACCCAGUGCUGAGAAGACUCUCCUGCUUCCUUUCACUUCUGUGCUCUAAAUGAUGUCUCAAAUCAUUCUCUAGAGCAAAACCUAUCAGAGGAAGAACUGACAAAAAUGUUUUCCUCGCACAAUGCUAGCAAGAUGACUUUCUUGACUAUAUUUAAAAUAAAAAAUACUGGGAAAUAAAAGAAAAUCCUC
This is a long non-coding RNA of Gallus gallus (chicken), 10974 nucleotides long. RefSeq lists it as uncharacterized. Lineage: Eukaryota; Metazoa; Chordata; Aves; Galliformes; Phasianidae. The transcript has 5 exons. The record is from RefSeq and is a predicted model, not a curated record.